UACGUAGGUGGCAAGCGUUGUCCGGAUUUACUGGGCGUAAAGAGCGCGCAGGCGGUCGGAUAAGUCGAAUGUGAAAGCCCCCGGCUCAACUGGGGAGGGUCAUUCGAUACUGUUCGACUCGAAGGCAGGAGAGGGAAGUGGAAUUCCCGGUGUAGUGGUGAAAUGCGCAGAUAUCAGGAAGAACACCCGUGGCGAAGGCGGCUCUCUGGGACGGUACUGACGCUGAGACGCGAAAGCGUGGGGAGCGAACAGG
This 253-nucleotide ribosomal RNA is filed under the name uncultured bacterium. Its description in RNAcentral is "partial 16S ribosomal RNA". It matches the Rfam family "Bacterial small subunit ribosomal RNA", at positions 524 to 776 of the family's 1533-position model. The record is from RNAcentral.